RNAcentral lists this ribosomal RNA (446 nucleotides) under uncultured bacterium. RNAcentral describes it as "bacterial SSU rRNA". It matches the Rfam family "Bacterial small subunit ribosomal RNA", at positions 330 to 792 of the family's 1533-position model. The record is from RNAcentral.
UCCAGACUCCUACGGGAGGCAGCAGUGGGGGAUAUUGCACAAUGGGGGAAACCCUGAUGCAGCGACGCCGCGUGAGUGAAGAAGUAUUUCGGUAUGUAAAGCUCUAUCAGCAGGGAAGAAAAAAGACGGUACCUGACUAAGAAGCCCCGGCUAGCUACGUGCCAGCAGCCGCGGUAAUACGUAGGGGGCAAGCGUUAUCCGGAUUUACUGGGUGUAAAGGGAGCGUAGACGGCAAUACAAGUCGGAAGUGAAAUACCCGGGCUCAACCUGGGAACUGCUUUGGAAACUGUAUGGCUGGAGUGCUGGAGAGGUAAGCGGAAUUCCUAGUGUAGCGGUGAAAUGCGUAGAUAUUAGGAGGAACACCAGUGGCGAAGGCGGCUUACUGGACAGUAACUGACGUUGAGGCUCGAAAGCGUGGGGAGCAAACAGGAUUAGAUACCCCUGUA